Podarcis lilfordi (Lilford's wall lizard) is the source of this 41362-nucleotide non-coding RNA. Lineage: Eukaryota; Metazoa; Chordata; Lepidosauria; Squamata; Lacertidae. The record is from the annotation of a GenBank genome assembly.
GUGGUCAACCAAGACUCCUAGAUCCUUUUCGCAUGUACUGCUCUCAAGCCAGGUGUCCCCCAUCUUGUAUUUGUGCCUCUCAUUUUUUUUGCCCAAGUGCAAUACUUUACAUUUCUCCCUGUUAAAAUUCAUCUUGUUUGUUUUUGCGCAGUUCUCUAAUCUGUCAAGGUCGUUUUGAAGUGUGAUCCUGUCCUCUGGGGUGUUAGCCACUCCUACCAGUUUGGUGUCAUCUGCAAAUUUGAUCAGGAUGCCCUUGAGUCCAUCAUCCAAGUCAUUGAUAAAGAUGUUGAAUAAGACCGGGCCCAAGACAGAACCCUGUGGCACCCCACUAGUCACUCUUCUCCAGGAUGAAGAGGAGCCAUUGAUGAGCACCCUUUGGGUUCGGUCAGUCAGCCAGUUACAAAUCCACUGAGUGGUAGCAUAGUCAAGACCGCAUUUUACCAGCUUCUUUACAAGAAUAUCAUGGGGCACCUUGUCAAAUGCCUUGCUGAAAUCAAGGUAGGCUACAUCCACUGCAUUCCCUUCAUCUACCAGGCUUGUAAUUCUGUCAAAAAACGAGAUCAGGUUAGUCUGACAUGACUUAUUUUUCAGAAAUCCAUGCUGACUAUUGGUGAUCACAGCAUUCCUUUCUAGGUGCUCACAGACUGUUUGCUUAAUGAUCUGCUCCAGAAUCUUCCCUGGUAUUGAUGUCAGACUGACUGGGCGGUAAUUAUUUGGGUCCUCUCUUUUCCCCUUUUUGAAAAUAGGGACAACAUUUGCCCUCCUCCAGUCUGCCAGGACUUCGCCUGUUCUCCAGGAAUUCUCAAAGAUGACUGCCAGUGGUUCUGAGAUCACAUCUGCCACUUCUUUUAAUACUCUUGGGUGCAGUUCAUCUGGCCCUGGAGACUUGAAUACAUCUAAACUAGCCAAGUAUUCUUGUACUAUCUCCUUAGUUAUUCUGGGCUGUGUUUCCUCUGCUGAAUCAUUUGCUCCAAAUUCUUCAGGUCGGGCAUUGUUUUCUUUAUCGGAGAAGACUGAGGCAAAGAAGGCAUUGAGGAGUUCAGCCUUUUCUGUGUCCCCUGUUUGCAUUUCACCAUCUUCUCCUCUGAGUGACCCCACUGUUUCUUUGUUCUUCCUUUUGCUACGGACAUACCCAUAAAAGCCUUUUUGGUUGCUUUUAACCUCUCUAGCAAGCCUGAGUUCAUUCUGUGCUUUAGCUUUUCUGACUUUGUGUCUACACGUGCUGGCUAUUUGUUUGAAUUCCUCUUUGGUGGUUUCCCCCUUUUCCAUUUUUUGUACACAUCCUUUUUUAAUCUUAACUCAGUUAAAAGUUCUUUACAUAGCCACCCUGGCUUCUUUAGGCACCUUCCAUGUUUCCGUCUCAUUGGUAUUGCCUGAAGUUGUGCUUUUACUAUCUCCCUCUUAACAAACUCCCAGCCAUCAUGAACUCCCUUUCCUUUUAGUAUUACUGUCCAUGGGAUCUCAACCAGCACUUCCCUAAGUUUUAUGAAGUCGGCUUUCUUAAAGUCAAGAAAUUGAGUCCUAGUAUGCUUGGCUGCUCCUUUCUGCUGUAUAGUAAACUUCAGAAGAGCAUGAUCACUCGCGCCUAAUGAUCCUUCCACUUCUACCCCACUAACCAGGUCAUCAGCAUUGGUUAGGACCAGAUCUAAAAUGGCUGUUCCUCUUGUUGUUUCUUCCACUUUCUGGACAACGAAGUUGUCUGCAAGGCCAGUGAGGAAUCUGUUUGACCUUAUGCUCUUGGCUGAGUUUGACAUCCAACAAAUAUCCGGGUAAUUGAAGUCCCCCAUUACUACUAUCUCCCUUCCUUUUGCAUGCUUGGCCAUCUGUUCCAGGAAGGCAUCAUCUAUGUCCUCCGUUUGGCUUGGGGAUCUAUAGUAAACUCCCACAAUGAGGUCACUGUUAUUCUUCUCUCCCUUAAUUUGGACCCAAAUGCUCUCACUUUGGCUUUGAGGUUCUAAAUCUUGGAUCUCUUCACAGGUAUACACAUCCCUGACAUAUAACGCCACUCCUCCUCCUUUCUUGUCUGGUCUGUUUCUCUGAAAUAGACUGUAUCCCUCCAUUAUUAUCCCAAAGGUCAUCUAGUCCAACCCCCUGCAAUGCAGGAAUCUCAGCUAUCAUGCCCGGUGGUUAUGGAAGUGUUGUGGAAUAGAAAGAUGCAGUCUCUGCUUUAGGGUCCAAGACUCCACAGGGCCUUUGCAGAACCACUAGUGAUUUCUUAGCCAACUGUGCUGUCCCAAUGAGGCCCAUGAAAUCCAAUAUGAUGUAGUGGAUAAAGCAGGGAUGGCUGACCACUGGCCCUGGUACCAGAUAAGCCACCCAAAAAAACAGCCCCUCCCAAGACCCAUACAUUUUGCUGGUGAUAGUAUUGCAAAAAUAGCAUUCAAUACAGGCAGCAAGAUAGAGAAGUUUAAACUUCUUCACCCUGUUCAGGGUCCCCAUAGGGAGGUCAACUGAGCACUCACCUGAGUUUUGCAGAGACAUAAUGAACCUUCCUUUUCAGCUGUGUUCUUUGUGAGGGUGGGCAAGACUAUGAGGUGGCCACACAACAGUGGUGUGGAGCCCCCAAUGGUUAGCCUCAGGCCAAAAAAAGGUUGGCCACCUCUGGGAUAGGGAAACAAGGGUUCAAAUCUCAUUUCUUCCAUGAAACUCAUAGAGGGACCUCAGCCUAGCCUGCCUCACAGUGCUGUUGUUUAUGUCGGGAGUGAGCAUGGCAAGGUUGAGCUGAAGGAAUGGGUUUCUGUGCAGUCAGUUUAAAACUGACCCUUUUCUUCUUAGCCUGACGUGGUUGGAUUCCUGGGGAAGGAGAGAGAGGGUGCCUGGAGUAUAAACUACAUGUAUAAACUACAUGAAACCUGUCAUUUCUUUGGACUUGCUGUGGACUCACCAUGCAAGUGCCUUCUGCUAUCCGGAGAGCAGAAUAAACUCUUUCUUUGAACCAACCUCGGUGUCAUUUGACUUCCUUCCUCCUGUCCCAGAGCAACGCAGACCCAAUUGGUGAACUCCAAUAAGGCUACAGAGCCAUUGUGGGGAAAGAUGAGGUCUGAGGAGAGAGCUGAAGACAGAGUGGUGGCAGCCCACAGCUGCUCUCAAAGAGAGGCCUGACCAUAAUGGAGAGCAAAAUAGAGUGGGUAGAGAGUCAUUUGAUGGAGCAACUCCAACGCUACAAUUUUGUGAUUCUAUGACUAUAAAAACUAAACCAAAGCAAACCAAGGCUGGCAUGGAAUAUUGCAUUCAGAAGAAUAUAUUUUUUUUCUGACAAAGCUAGUUUUCAGGAUAUUUGUGAUGAGAUGCAGACAGGUAAAAGGGAUGUGGGUGGUGCUGUAAGUUAAACCAUAGAGCCUAGGACUUGCCGAUCAGAAGGUUGGCGGUUCGAAUCCCCGCGAUGGGGUGAGCUCCCAUUGCUCGGUCCCUGCUCCUGCCAACCUAGCAGUUCGAAAGCACAUCAAAGUGCAAGUAGAUAAAUAGGUACCGCUCUGGCGGAAACGGCAUUUCCAUGUGCUGCUCUGGUUCGCCAGAAGUGGCUUAGUCAUGCUGGCCACAUGACCCAGAAGCUGUACGCCAGCUCCCUCGGCCAAUAAAGCGAGAUGAGCGCUGCAACCCCAGAGUCGGCCACGACUGGACUUAUCCGUCAGGGGUCCCUUUACCUUUACCAACAGGUAAAUGGAGAGUGCCAUAAUAAGAAAUGGUAAUGAACGGUGUGGUGCACCUCACUUGCAAAAUAUCUCUGGGGCACAAGCCUGGGCAAUGUGCCUGGAAGUCCUGGGCUGCCCGGAUGACAAGACCCGCCUCAUGGCUUCACUGAUGGGGUCCAAAGGAAAGCAGAGCAAGACGUUUGGCUGCAGGAAGGAGAUGUACAAGCAGGAGUAUAGGAAAGUGGGGUAGGGGUCCGCCCCGGGUGCCACCAUGGAGGGGGGGUGACAAAUUAUCAAGGAACAAUUACUGCCCUACUAGGGCGGUUCAUUAAAAAAAACUUUAAAAAAAAAAUGCCUGCUCCAAAGGUCUUAUCUUACUACACUAGGGAUUAUAUAGCUAUAUGUGAAAGUUCAUGCAUAUCAGUUAAUAUCUUGACCCUCCUCCACAAAAAUAGCUGUUUACUUGGCCGUUUCCCUAUAUCGUGAAGGCUGAAAUUUCAAUUCAGUGGAGCAGGGUCAAAAAAAAGUUUUUUAUGACCCGUCCUACUGCCCCACCCUCCGCUUGGCUUCCCAGGUCCUGGAAAGUCGGCCUAGGUGAAGAAAAUGAGACGCCGCCGAGUAGACUAGGCCUUGCCUUGCCUUCGCCCCCUCCCGCCUGCAGCCGAUUUCUUCCCCUAGGCCGACUUUCUGGGCUGCUGAGGCGGCCUGCCAAGGCCGCUGCCUGUCCUGCGCACCCCAUUUGGGCCCAAACCCCUCUCCAAAAAACCUUUGCUGCACCCAAAAGUGGAGCGUGUGGGACAAUGGCAGUGCUGCCGCCCUGUUUUGCCCGCGUGUGGCGCCGGGAGGAGCAGCUUGGCAGGCCGGCCUCCCCUUUGCCCCCAGCCUCCCCUGCGUGAAGCUAGGACCCCCCCCCCCCCAAAAAAAGCAGUUGUGUAAUUAAAAGAAGUUGAGAAAAAGCAGCAAAGCUAUUCUGUGGCUAAUUGACCAAUUAGGGUCUAUUAAUGAAGUUCACACUUUUGACAACCAGUCUGAUGCUUUUGCAGAAAAAUAUUCCUGUACAGCAAACUGUACAUUCCCACCCCUCUCCCCAAAGCUGGAUUUUAUUUACUUUUGUGUGCUGGUGUAUCUGUGUCUCCCUUGUAUCUAUUAGGGACUAUUCUCUCCUUUCCUUUGAUAUCUAUGCUACUGAUUACUUCUGCCGUUUUAAUUUUAGAGAAAGUUUUUAAUUUUAAAAGGAUCUGUACUAUAGAAUAACAGUGGUAACAAUACAUUGAAGACAAGUAAAUCUUUUGGGGAAGGUGGUCCCAGAGCCCUAGAGCCCCCACCCCAAAGAGGAUCAAAUGGGCGGACUUUGGCACUCUUUUGUCCCGUCCUCCCCCAAGGUCUUUCUCUCUAUCUGAGCUGGAUCCCUGCCUGUUACGUUACAUGCGGGGAAACUGCAUGUAAAGUCUUUAAGUUGUUCCUGCGCGCGCCUGGCAAAUCUGCCCCAUUGUCAAAAUUUAUUUUCCCCACCACCUCCAGUCUCCGUUGUUGUGUGUCCUGGCUGAGGGGGAAAACAAAAGACGGAUGGUCAUCGGUCAGGGAUGGUCUAGUUGAGAUUCCUUCAUUGCCCCAGGGGUUUGGCUAGAUGACCCGCAGGGGUCCCUUCCAACUCUACAAUUCUCUGGAUGCAAGGGGUGCAUAGGAUUGCAGCCCAUCUUAUGCACCGCCGGCUCGGGAAUAAGUCCCACUGAUCAUGAUCAGACUAGAUUGCUGCUGUGCAGUCCUGUUUUUGAAAUAAACCUUUUCCUUUUCAGAUAAUACAGAGCAUGGUGAAAUCACAAUAAAUAAACCCUCCCCUUCAGUAGUUUCAAGCACUACUACUGGUUCCACAUAACAUCUGUACUGCAUUGUUUACUGUGACAGCACCUGCACUUUGGAACUCCCCGCCUACAUGCCUUUGCUAGACUCUUUUCAGGCACCUGCUAAAAGCAUUAUUCUUUAGGCAAGCAUACCUAGAUGCUUAGGAAGUAGAAGCAAUUUUAAUCUUAAUAUUUUAGCUUUUGUAUGUUUUAAAGUAGGAUUGUUAAUUUUUCUUGAUUUUACUGCUGUGUUUUUUUUUCUUUUUUCUUUUGGUAAACCACUUUGCAGGUUUUUUUAAAUACAUUUUAUUAAAUAAAUAAACAAUAAAUAUAAAUAAAAUAACACAAGCCAAAACACAAUCCAUCCUGUAGAUUUAAGUAUCUGUCCAUAGUCGCCUACUUGUUAUCAGAGGCCCAGAAUCCACAUUCCUUUGUAAGAAAACAUGAAAUAAUGUAAAACCAUUUUUGCAGGCAAUUUUUUUUUUAAAAAAAUCAAUGUGUAUGUGUAUGUGUGGGGGGGGGGGUGACAAGAAAUUUUCCGCACCAGGUACCACCUGACCUUCCUCUGUGUACAAGGAGCCAUCCCACUGUCUUAGGGACUCCGCUCUGGAUUUGUAUAGGGUUUAUUUAAGGAGUAAUGCCUUUUCUUCUGCCGAAAAUAUCCCACAAGGCAGCAGAGGUUUAAGAUCAGAGUUUUCCUUCUCCUAGAGGACUACUUUCCCAGGUGGAUGAGUCCCAUCUGCCCCUCACUUCCCUCUGCAGGACAUACAGAAACCCCCGUUGGACCCACUAUUGGUUUGAUCCACUCCAUCCGCCAGAGCCUGUCUUCACAUGCAGGGGAAAUACACUCUGGAUUUCUGCAGGGUUUACUCUUUAGCCUUUUCUUCUCCGGAAGAUGUCCUGCAAGGCAGUGGCUACUGCUUUUUCCUCAGGGUUUACUCCCAGAGCCUUUCUUAUGAAUGAGUGUAGCCGCAAGGCAGUGGAGGUUUAGAACAAGAGUUUUCCCUCUCCAAAAUCGGCCACCUUCCCAGGAUGAUACAGAAACAUAAACCUAUGACUGAAACCAUGAGAGGCUCAAGGAGUACCAAGGGGGGGGGGAGGGGCUCUGGUUGUUGGGAUACUGCCAGGGAGACAAAGGCCAUCAUGGUUCCACGUCGCCUCCGGACGAUCCAUCGAUCUCCCGUAGAUACAGUAUCAGUCAAUUAGCGACACGAAGCCUCAGAAAUAGCUUGCCACAUUCCAGAGCUCGUGCACGCUCUAUCAGCAGAGUUCGCACAACGAAAGAUGCACUCAAGAGAGCAUAUUAUUCAGCGUUGGUCAGAACAAAGAAAAAACAUGACUGCCUGCUUCAAUGUCUCAGGCACAGAGAGAAAAUGAAAGCAUAUACAAAAGAGAAACUUCCUGUGAACAGGAAAUACGCAGACUCUGUGACUCACAAAGCCUGCUCCCUUUUAAGGUGGAACGGAAAUAUCCUAACACUGAUUACAUCAAGAAAAAUGUUCAGCCAAUUAGAUGUAACUCACCUCAAAUUUCUUGAGAGACUUGUGGAAGAGAGAAAUGUAUUUUUGUUUAUGUAUUCAAUAAAAUCCCAACAAACAGAGACAAAAAUGGUCACCUUUGUUUUUCCUUUCAAAAUAUGGGUGCAGCAGGUGAGCUUUUCAUAUAAUGCAAUUUUCUCUAUAUUACUCCACCAUAAUGAAUUUGAAUAGAUUUGUGGAAUCCUGUGUUGAAGCCAUCUGAGUUGGUGGCCAUUGUGGCUUUUUGUGGGCGCUGUCUCCAUAGUUUAACUAUACACUGUGUGAAUAAUUAUCUUUUGUCUGUCUGUCCUGAAUUUUCCAAAUUUCAACAUCAUUGAAUUUUCCUGGGUUUGAAUAUCAUGAGAAAGAGACUUUCUCUCUCUCCUCAAUGUAUAAUCUUUUGCACCUCUAUCACGUCCCCUCCUUAUUUUCCUACUAUGAUAGCACAGGGCAUUUUGACUGACUGGCUCAGGAUAUUCUGGGGUAUUAAGGACAAAGAGAUAGGGUGAAGACAGGGCUGUGGAAGGCUUUGAAAAUAACAGCACAGAACUGGUGCUUUAGUCAUCUUUGUGCUAAAAAUUACAUUUUUGUAACACCAAGACUAGAUGGUGCGGUGUGUGCCUUAAUGCAACACAGCAUUGCUAUAUAAUCAAGAUGUCACAGCAUCAUAAUGUUGCAUGCUGGCUGAGAGCUCUCUCUCUCUCUCUCUCUCUCUCUCUCUCUCUCUCACACACACACACACACACACACACAGUGCCAUUUCAUGAUGGUGAAAGAAUGACAAGGAAAGCCAUGUGUUUGGUUUGUUUUCCCCAUAAUGUUAAUUCAAUUAUUUCUGCUUCAAUGAAUGAAGAAUUUGUUUAAAGAAGUACCAGUGAUCCCGCCCGCCUUAUCAUGUUUCCAGGCGGGCUUUGGAUCUUCAGCAGCAAUAGAAAGGCUCUGCAUUGAUGCUCAGAUACACUACAUUGCUCCGCCUAUUCCAGGGCUAAGCACUGAAAACAGGUUCCAGAAUUAAGCCCUGAGAAGACCAUAGAUGACCUGAAAUUUCUUCAUGGAACUUUCUAACCCCCAAGUGAAGGCUUUGGGGAGAGCAAAAAGUUUCAUGAAAUUGACUCCCGUUCUCUCUGUUGCCACCCAUACUUGCUUUAUGGUGCAGGCAGCAGCAGUUCCACUUCUAGAAGUCCUGUUGCCUUGUGGAAAAGACCUUUCUUUCUUUCUUUCUUUCUUUCUUUCUUUCUUUCUUUCUUUCCUUCUUUCCUUCUUUCUCUCUUUCUCUCUUUCUCUCUUUCUAUCUCUCUUUCUUUCUUUCUCUCUCUCUCUCUUUCUUUCUUUCUUUCCUUCCUUGAAAGGCUCGAGAGUCAGGGGUGUAGGAAGGGGGGUGCGGCCCACCUCAGGUGUCAUCCUUGAGGGGUGUGACAAAAUGGAACACCAUGGGGGCCUGGCCUGCAGCGUGCCUGAGCCACGCGUCUCUCCUGGGAGUAACGUGGUGGCUUGGGUCCCCGCACUGCCCGAAACGGCAGCAUGGGGCUUGUGUCUGCCAGGCAGACUCCAUGGGCAGCUCACCGCACCGUCCCCUGGGGUGGAUCGCUGCAGUGCCCUGUGCCCAGAUUGCCGCGGCACCCCUGUGGGAGGAUCGCCCCACCCCCGCCGCUCCGGAUGCCAGAGCAGCUAGCUACACCCCUGUCCAGAGUGAAGGCACAACGCAUUGCCAUCUCUCUGACUUGGUUUCAUGACACUUAGUUUACUGCCCUUGCUCUCACUUGACUUCAUGACAAUUCCAUGAUGCAUCCAGAGUGAAGGCAAUACUCCCUGCUUUUACUUGGGAUAUUUUCAAGUAAAAGAAAGGAAGAAGGGCUCCUUCUUCAAGGCUCCAGCAGGGCUCCUGAUGCUAUGUUUGCAUGAUACUGCCCUCUCUGCCAACAUGCCCCUCCUCCUCCCCAUAAGCAGCAGUGACUCACCUGAUGGGAGGUCAGGAAAGUGCCUCCAUCCCCCAUGCCAGGGGUGUACAACCUGUGGCCUUCCAGAUGUUUCUGGACUACACCUCCUAUUAGCCACAGCCAGCAUAGCUGUGAUGGCCUGGGAUUCGGAUUCGGAUGCUGAACCUGAGGAAUCCCAGCCUGCACAGGAUUCCCUGCCUCCAGAACCAGCAGACCCGGGGCUGGGGCAUGAGCCUGAAGGCUCCUCACCUGUGCUGGAUCCUCAGGUGCAGGCACCAGCUGAGUCUGCUCUGGCUCCUGAGGGGGUGGAGGACCCAUUGCCUGCAGGUGCUCCACUCUCAGCCCCAUCAGGGGAAGCUGAGGUUGCCUCUGGGUCCGGUAACCCUCCAGCUUCUCCCGAGCUGCAGAGGCUCAGGGCAGAGAGGCGGAGGGAACUAAGUUCCCGCAGGAGGAGUGCUCACCUCCAGGCCAGGAGAGGCGAGUCACCUGAGGAUCAGGGCCGCCCUGUGCCUCGGGGCAGAUAAAAGCCAGCCAGCCUCAGUCCCAAGUUGCGGGAGCAAUUUCGUUGGUUGUCAGUUCCUGCCUGAACCCUGUCCUGCUAUCCUGCUGGAGCUCCUGACCUCACCCGCCUACCUGCCCUGCAUCCAGCUUCAACUUCUUUGUACUGUCUCCUUACUGCACCUUUGACCUCGGACUGGACUUGGACCUCGCCUCUUGGUUAGCCCACGGGACCAGCACAAUAGCCAUUGAUCAGGAAGGUGGGAGGUGUAGUCCAGAAACAUCUGGAGGGCCACAGGUUGUGCACCCUUGCCCCAUGUCACCAACAACUGGAAAAAAGGCCACCAGGAACUGAAUGUGUGCUCACUGCCACUCUAAAUCUUGCUCGUUUUGUUCAUGCCCCUCCAAAAUUGCCCCAAUGCCAACCUGACUUUGUGUCAUGCAAAGAUGCACCAAAUUUGUAUGUGUGCAUGUGUGUGUGUGUGUGUGUGUGUGUGUGUGUGUGCAUGCAGAUGCAUUGGGGCUGGGUGGGGGUUUCAGCUCUGCUCUAGAUAAGACCUUCUCCAGACUGAGCCAUGGCUUUGGUGGCAAUGUGCUGUGGGUAUAACCUCACUUGGCGUUUAUGUCUGUGCCAUGAGAUUUCAUUCAUUAAUGCUUUGUGAAGUCUGCUGUGAUUGUUGAAUGGGGAUUGCUAUGUAGAGAAUGGUUAGAGGGCUGGAGAACCCUGCUUGCUGCAGGAGAGAGAAUUCAUCUCCGUCUUUUUAGUUUACCGGAUAAGAAGGUGAAGAGGUGACUUAAUGAUGCCUCAUCAGGGCCUUCCCAGGGAAGAAGAGUAUUGGGGACUAAAGAGCAAUUUCAUCCAGAAGAGUGGAGAGAGGCAGAACAGAAGCUGAGAUCAGCAUGGCACUGACGUCUCUUGACAAAUUCAAGGAAGGAAGGAAGGGCUAAGGAUGAUUCAUUGUUUUGGAACACUUUCCCAUGCCUGGGAUGGGCUGGCAAGGUUUAUUUUCUUCUCUUUUACAUUGCAGUUCUCAGCCUUCUAAAGAUGUAAUUCAUGGAUUGGACUGAGGGCAUAAUAAGUGAUGAACAUUGCACCAGGAGUUUCUGGUGCAGGCAGCAAUUGCAUCAUGGAAUCGUAGAGUUGGGAAUGACCCCAAGAGUCAUCUAGUCCAACCCCCUGCAAUCCAGGAAUCUCAGCUAAAGUCUCCAUGACAGACGGCCAUCCAGCCUCUGCUUAAAAGCCUCCCAAUGACUGUUAGCUCCUUCUCCCUUAGUCUCAGUAUUACCUUGUGGAAUUCAACAGGGAGUAGGGGGACAAAAGCAGAAGUAGUUGGCUCUGCCUGUCAUUGGCUCUGGCCCCACCCCAUUGGACUCCCUGCCUCCCACCCUACCAGUCCAAAUGGGCACCAGCCAACACUCCAUGGCACUUUACAAAAAAAUGAGAGGAUACAUCUCUGCCCUGAGGGACAAGAGAGACAUGAGAGAGAAGCAGAGGCAGAAGAGAAUCUACUGCUGCUGACCUCUUGGUCAUAUCCUCAGAACCCAAUAUGGCAAAGAAAAAACCCCAUUGAUUGUUAGUAUCAUAUUUUUAUUGUAUUGUAUGUUGAAAACUUUCAAUAAAAAAUCAGAUAAAAUGAAAGAAACUCACUAAGCCUGAGUUCUCUUUCUUUGUCUUUCUGGACCGUAUUUUGAAAUAUUAGACCCUUAGUCAGAAAUUGAAAUAAGCCAAUGGAAUUGCUCAUUGCUAGGUCUGGAACUUUUUGUCAACUGUGUAUAAAGUCUCCAAGCUGAUGCCAUCUGCCUGGGAACUGGAGUUGGCGUAUUCUCUUGGUGCCAAGAAGGUUCAUUCAAGCUGUGUUUCCAUUUAUACCCUCCCUCUCCCUCUUCUUCUUCUUCACUUUCAAUACAUAUUUGAUUAUAUAAAGGCUUUGGUUGACAUUGGUAAGUACACUUGCAAUGGUGGUUCUCUUGUGUUCUUUCAAAUACAGUGGAAUAAUUUUUUAAAAAGCUUAUGAAGUCUUUGCCCCUCCUCCCAGUUGCUCAAUUUUCAGGCAUCACUGAAACCUGGUGGGAUAAGUCCCACGAUUGGAAUGUAAUAAUGGGGGGAUACAAUCUAUUUCAGAGAAACAGACCAGACAAGAAAGGAGGAGGAGUGGCGUUAUAUGUCAGGGAUGUGUAUACCUGUGAAGAGAUCCAAGAUUUAGAACCUCAAAGCCAAAGUGAGAGCAUUUGGGUCAAAAUUAAGGGAGAGAAGAAUAAGAGUGACCUCAUUGUGGGAGUUUACUAUAGAUCCCCAAGCCAAACGGAGGACAUAGAUGAUGCCUUCCUGGAACAGAUGGCCAAGCAUGCAAAAGGAAGGGAGAUAGUAGUAAUGGGGGACUUCAAUUACCCGGAUAUUUGUUGGAUGUCAAACUCAGCCAAGAGCAUAAGGUCAAACAGAUUCCUCACUGGCCUUGCAGACAACUUCAUUGUCCAGAAAGUGGGAGAAGCAACAAGAGGAACAGCCAUUUUAGAUCUGGUCCUAACCAAUGUUGAUGACCUGGUUAGUGGGGUAGAAGUGGAAGGAUCAUUAGGCGCGAGUGAUCAUGCUCUUCUGAAGUUUACUAUACAGCGGAAAGGAGCAGCCAAGCAUACUAGGACUCAAUUUCUUGACUUUAAGAAAGCUGACUUCAUAAAACUUAGGGAAGUGCUGGGUGAGAUCCCAUGGACAGUAAUACUAAAAGGAAAGGGAGUUCAUGAUGGCUGGGAGUUUGUUAAGAGAGAGAUAGUAAAAGCACAACGUCAGGCAAUACCAAUGAGACGGAAACAUGGAAGGUGCCUAAAGAAGCCAGGGUGGCUAUCUAAAGAACUUUUAACUGAGUUAAGAUUUAAAAAGGAUGUGUACAAAAAUGGAAAAGGGGGAAACCACCAAAGAGGAAUUCAAACAAAUAGCCAGCACGUGUAGACACAAAGUCAGAAAAGCUAAAGCACAGAAUGAACUCAGGCUUGCUAGAGAGGUUAAAAGCAACAAAAAAGGCUUUCAUGGGUAUGUUCGUAGCAAAAGGAAGAACAAAGAAACAGUGGGGUCACUCAGAGGAGAAGAUGGUGAAAUGCAAACAGGGGACACAGAAAGGGCUGAACUCCUCAAUGCCUUCUUUGCCUCAGUCUUCUCCGAUAAAGAAAACAAUGCCCGACCUGAAGAAUUUGGAGCAAAUGAUUCAGCAAAGGAAACACAGCCCAGAAUAACUAAGGAGAUAGUACAAGAAUACUUGGCUAGUUUAGAUGUAUUCAAGUCUCCAGGGCCAGAUGAACUGCAUCCAAGAGUAUUAAAAGAAGUGGCAGAUGUGAUCUCAGAACCACUGGCAGUCAUCUUUGAGAAUUCCUGGAGAACAGGUGAAGUCCCGGCAGACUGGAGGAGGGCAAAUGUUGUCCCUAUUUUCAAAAAGGGGGAAAGAGAGGACCCAAAUAAUUACCGCCCAGUCAGUCUGACAUCAAUACCAGGGAAGAUUCUGGAGUGGAUCAUUAAGCAAACAGUCUGUGAGCACCUAGAAAGGAAUGCUGUGAUCACCAAUAGUCAGCAUGGAUUUCUGAAAAAUAAGUCAUGUCAGACUAACCUGAUCUCGUUUUUUGACAGAAUUACAAGCCUGGUAGAUGAAGGGAACGCAGUGGAUGUAGCCUACCUUGAUUUCAGCAAGGCAUUUGACAAGGUGCCUCACGAUAUCCUUGUAAAGAAGCUGGUAAAAUGUGGUCUUGACUAUGCUUCCACUCAGUGGAUUUGUAACUGGCUGACUGACCGAACCCAAAGGGUGCUCAUCAAUGGUUCCUCUUCAUCCUGGAGAAGAGUGACUAGUGGGGUGCCACAGGGUUCUGUCUUGGGCCCGGUCUUAUUCAACAUCUUUAUCAACGACUUGGAUGAUGGACUCAAGGGCAUCCUGAUCAAAUUUGCAGAUGACACCAAACUGGGAGGGGUGGCUAACACCCCAGAGGACAGGAUCACACUUCAAAACGACCUUGACAGAUUAGAGAACUGGGCCAAAACAAACAAGAUGAACUUUAACAGGGAGAAAUGUAAAGUAUUGCACUUGGGCAAAAAAAAAUGAGAGGCACAAAUACAAGAUGGGUGACACCUGGCUUGAGAGCAGUACAUGUGAAAAGGAUCUAGGAGUCUUGGUUGACCACAAACUUGACAUGAGCCAACAGUGUGACGCGGCAGCUAAAAAGCCAAUGCAAUUCUGGGCUGCAUCAAUAGGAGUAUAGCAUCUAGAUCAAGGGAAGUAAUAGUGCCACUGUAUUCUGCUCUGGUCAGACCUCACCUGGAGUACUGUGUCCAGUUCUGGGCACCACAGUUCAAGAAGGACACUGACAAACUGGAACGUGUCCAGAGGAGGGCAACCAAAAUGGUCAAAGGCCUGGAAACGAUGCCUUAGGAGGAACAGCUAAGAGAGCUGGGCAUGUUUAGCCUGGAGAAGAGGAGGUUAAGGGGUGAUAUGAUAGCCAUGUUCAAAUAUAUAAAAGGAUGUCACAUAGGGUAGGGAGAAAGGUUGUUUUCUGCUGCUCCAGAGAAGCGGACACGGAGCAAUGGAUCCAAACUACAAGAAAGAAGAUUCCACCUAAACAUUAGGAAGAACUUCCUGACAGUAAGAGCUGUUUGACAGUGGAAUUUGCUGCCAAGGAGUGUGGUGGAGUCUCCUUCUUUGGAGGUCUUUAAGCAGAGGCUUGACAACCAUAUGUCAGGAGUGCUCUGAUGGUGUUUCCUGCUUGGCAGGGGGUUGGACUCGAUGGCCCUUGUGGUCUCUUCCAACUCUAUGAUUCUAUGAUUCUAUGAUUCUAAAGCCAGGAGCAAAAGCCUCCAUCAUAUCUGUGUUAUAAGGAGCAAUUGUUCAGACCAGGCUGCAAUCUGGAGGCAUCUUACCGCCUUACUAAGGCUAAGAAGGUCAGGUUCUGGUGAAUAGCUGUGUGCAUGAUCACCAGGGAAUCCUCAUGCACACUGCCUUUUGUUGAAUGAAGAAAGAUGGCAUAUAAAUUAAUAAUAAAAUAAAUAAAUAUAUGACAUAUAUAAAAAAUAAAUUACAUAAGUAUAGUAUGGAUAUCAAAGAAGCCUUUAUAGCUGUGCUGAAAUUCUCCCCAUUGGACAGGUUUCUCUGCACCAUAGCAGGGAUGGAGAAACUGUGUCGCUCCAGGACUCACUGGGCAUAAUAAGUGAUGAACACUGCCCAGGAGUUUCUGGUGCAGGCAGCAAUAGAAUCGUGGAAUCGUAGAGUAAUGGCUCCCUGGCCAUUACUCAUGCUGCCUGAGGCUGAUGGCAGUUGGAGACGAACAACUUCUGGGUUCCCCACUCCUGCACUAUAGGGAAGACCCUUAUACUGACCCAUUGCUUCAUUGAGCUGGCUGGCCCUUGCCCACACUGGCUGGCAGCACAUCUCCAGGGGUUCAAGCAAGGGAUUUUCCCAGUUAUUUCCAGAGAAGCUAGCAUUUGAUCCUUUUGCAUGUAGAGUCAUACCUUGGGUUACAGACGCUUCACGUUGCGCAAUUUCGGGUUGUGCACUGCGCCGAACCUGGAAGUACCGGAACAGCUUAAUUCUGGGUUUCGGCACUUGCACAUGUGCAGAAGCGCUGAAUCAGGACCCACGCAUGUGCAGAGGGUUGCGAACGCUGCGGGUUAUGAACGUGCUUCCCACACGGAUCACGUUUGCAACCUGAGCGUCCACAAAUAUACAGAUAUAUACUGUUGGUAUGAAAUAAGAAGAAACAGAGUUUACUUAAUCUUUUAGUUCCUCUUGUUUAUUGGAAUGUUGUCAUCUGUGCCUACAUGUGCAUUCAUUAAACAUUCCUAAAAUAAAUGCAAUCUUGUUUAAUAUAUAUGGAUAUUUUUAUGCUGAAAAUUCCUUCCAUGGUUCCCCACCACCACCACCAUUGCCCAUCAAUUAACACACAAAUAGAGACCGAAUCUGAGAAGCAUUCAAGAGGUUUUUAAAGUGAAAUUCUUACGGAUAGGGUUCAGGGCUUCUGUUGUGCUUACCUUAUCUUUAAGGUGGUGAAAGGAUUUUGUGAAUGUCCUUCCUUUCAUUCUACAAAUCAUCUGAUGCAGCCUUCCCAAGUGCCCUCACUUCUUGGAAUUCUUCAGAUGGGCUUUCAAGUGUGGGAAGCCCAUUAUGGUCCUGUCAGCUGCACUCCUGAUCAGUAAACACACUGAUCUCAGGCACUUGGUAGACUACCUUCAUGGCCCCUGUCAAAGUCCAGGGGAAGAUGUCCCAAUGCAACUCCUCUCAUGGAGCUUUUUUAAAAUCAGGAAGUGGGGGAGAAAUGUUUAAUGGAAAGAACACACAGCUGUGAGCCACCUCAUGGUGAGAAGGUAAGCUCAGCCAUGUACCCACUGAAAUUAUAAAGAAACAAUCUCUGCAUAAAAGAAUUUACAGAACAAUGCAAAAGUGAAGUGCUGGGUGAGAUGUCACUUCUGCUUGUCAACAUGCUGGUGGGGAUUUCAGUGUGCCAACUCAAGCCUGGUGAAGUUAAUGGGCCCCAUUCUGGAGGGGACUAUGGAUUCAGCAGAUCCAAUAUUUCCUCUGACACAUAGUGUUCUGUUUUGGGGGCUAUUGCCAGCAGAAACAACACAAGUGGUAUAUAUUUUGGGGCUCUCAAUACAGGAGUACAACAAGGUGCUGUUCCAUCCUAACAUCCUCCAUCCAGUGAAUCUGAGGGUUAGGAUUUCUCUGCUAAUCAUUCCACUGCAUUGCAAUUUUCUCAGCCUCUUUCCACCAAUGAUCCUGCUACUGACUUUGCUUCAAUUGCUUUCAUUCCAUGCAGCUUUAAUCACAGCUUUCCAACUCAAGAGUGAUCCAAGAAGGCUUGCAGUUUUAUUUUGUUUGGGUGGAGAAAUGCCAUCUUCGAGAAUGCUUGCAUUAAAAUUGCUGCUACCUCCCUUGUCUACUUCAUUACAGCUGUAAUCUCUUAAAAUUCUAAUUGUGAUGACAUUUUCUCCUCAGCACAUGAUUGGAAAGCAAAGGAGAGGAUCACACCCACUGCACCCCUAGAAGCCAAUCAGCUUGCAUCCUGACACGAUCUUCCUUGGGUAAGUGGGGGUUCUUCUCUUAGCACAUGAGACUAGAUGAAACAUGGAAAGCUCCACUGUAUGUUACCUCGUUCAUGGUGUGGACUUGUCUGCAUUAAUCAAAGCGAGGGCAUUGUAUCUGUUCUAGGCAAAUGUGGUGCCUGCCAGGUGGACUCCAUCUCCCCUCAGCCUUGGCCAUUGAGCCGGGGGUGGUGAGAGCUGCAUUUCACCAGUACCUGAUGGACUUCACGUUGGCUACCCCUAAUCCAGGCUUGGGUCAUUUACUUUGGUUUUUACUGGAUCCUGGGAUCUACUAGACAUAGCCAGGUGCAAAACAGUGGCUGAAGUGGGCAUCCUUUCUGUUGUGUGUUCAGGAUCAUAUGUGCUCACGAUGGUAUUGAGGCAAUUAUGUGUGGUCCCACUUUCAGUACAGUGGAUUCAGGGUGGUCUUCCUGCUUCAUUUCCAAUCAGAGCAUAUAUAUCCCAGAACUUUCUAUAACUUUUCAUGCCCCAAAUGUUCUAGUCUGGGGUGUGUGUGUUGUCCCAUUUUUACUGUGUUAUAUUGCAAAAGUGACCCUUCAAACAGCAAUAACUCAACAACAUUGUAGAAGUAUUGCAUAACAACUAAUAAAUCAGAAUGAUGUGUGGAUGGUCCAGGGGAUGGACCAUAAAUUCAUGGCCAUUACGUCUAUGACUUGUUGCAGAAUACAGCUGCAAAAGAAUACCACCAGUUUUGAGGCUCUCUGAGCAGAUGUACCUCUGACCAUAGGCCUCUGUACCUCUGACCAGGAAUAGGUGGUCGGUACGAGAACCAAGCUCACAAGCCUUUUCAAACAAAUAUUACUUCUGGUUCCCACCCACCUGCACCUGGUUAUGCAAGACUUUGACUAGGGGUGGUUUCUCAAUGUCUGAGAAAUGGAAAAGGGGAGUGAAGUGCACGUUAAAAGACAUUUUGUUGUGUUGUUGUUGUUUUUAUUUUGAUUAUGUAUUUUGUGGUUUUAUAUUCUGAUUUUAUUCUGUGAACCACCCUGAGACCUCCAUGUAUAGGGCAGUAUAUAAUUUCAAUAAAUAAUAAAUAAAUAAAUACUUUUGAACUGUACCACAGGGCUGUUUGUCUGGUCAUAUUAUUGAAUGUUCCACACAAAAAAGUCUCUGAAUGUGGUAAACAAACACAUCUGGCAGAUGAUUAUACUGAACCUCCCCCCCCACUCUGAUGUGUUAAUUUGCCAUAUACAGUGGUCCCUGUAGUUACGAACUUAAUUCGUUCCGGAGGUCCAUUCUUAACCUGAACCUGUUCUAAACUAGAGGCAUGCUUUCGCUAAUGGGGCCUCUUGCUGCCGCUGCACCACCGGCACACAAUUUCCCUUCUCAUCUUGGGGCAAAGUUCUCAACUCAAGGUAACUCUUCCAGGUUAGUGGAGUUUGUAACCUGAAGCGUUUGUAACCUGAGGCGUUUGUAACUUGAGGUACCACUGUACGGGGAGUUCUUUCUGGGUAAGUGCAUUCAAAAUAUGACCACGGUCCAGCAUUCUGCUACUUCAUUCUACAUAACGUGGUUGUGGUCCAAAUUUGUGGCAGAAUGCAAUGGUAGUUGACUAGUAUGCAGCAUUCUGGAGCAGAUUCUCCCAGGUGCUGGAGGACUACAACUCCCCCUGUCCCAUGCCAUUGGCAGGGCUGGUUGCAGGUGAUGUGGGUUGUAGUCUAGCAAUGUUUGGGGACCCAAUGGGAGGAGAUGCUGUUUUCAAGCAAAGACAGGGAAGUCCAUUGUCAAAUGCUUCCCUGCACUGAAAACAUGUAGAAAACUAGCUCACUAGAGGGAUGUUGAGGCAACAACUUUUCAGUGUGCUAUGUCUUUGCCUGCAGGGAAAUUUUAGUGGAGAUUUUAAUUUGAUGGACAUUAGGAAUGUUAUCACCCCACCUGGGGUCAGAAAUGUACCAUCUAUUGGACCAGAAUGUUUCAUUUUCAACCCUGCAGUGAUUGAGGGCAGGAAUCAGAGAUUCAAUCUAAGGUUUUUUGGGGGGGGGCCUGUGGCACUCCAGGUGUUGCUUUAGUCCCCAUCACUUGCAUCCACAUAGCCCAGCAACUUCUGAGAGGCCACAGGCUCUCAUCUUGUGAUUGUUGUAAUGGAAGUACCGGUAGAUAAUGUUUGCAGGAGCUUUCCAAUGAAAAUUUGCAGUGGACCUUGGUUGGCUCUGGUUAUGUAUGUUGCCUUUUCAGCAAAGGCGGUGUUAAGCGGGUGAAGGAUAGACCUUGUGUGUAUUCCUCUCUCCUCUGCCAAUUGAGUGUGGCUUGGUGUCUCCUUGUGCCAUUCUGCAGGGGGCAAUGGGAGUCGGAGGCUUCCUUUCUCAACAGGAACAACAAAGUGAGCCCUCUCACUGCUGAGCUGUGCAAGAUGUCUCUGUUACAGUCACACACACACACACACACACACACACACAAUUUUUUUGCUCCCAGCCUCUCUUUUCUUCUUCCAGCCUCUCUCUUCCCAGGACAGUCAAAGGAGACAAGAGCAGGUUGUGGUUUGUACAGUACAUACCAAAUCCUAGACUAAAAUCUGUGAACUGUCAGCUUGAUGCAGGUGGUGUGUGAGACAGCAAACAUCAGAGCUGACUGGGCUUAGGCAAUUUCUCAGCAUGACAGCUCUCUGGAGGGAACAAAGGGAUCUUUCAAUGCAGAACAAAAUUUAGUUCCUUAAUGAAAAACAUCAGGAUGAUUCAAGCAUCCCCUCCACAGCAAGUUGGGGGCUAAGGCUGGGAAGUCAUACUGGAGCACGACUCAUCUGGUUUAUGUUAGCAAAAGGUGCUGUGAUCUCUGGCUAUGUUAGAAGCAGAGAAAUGUAGUUAUUAGUGUUCCCAGUGGGAGCCUCUAGGAAUGUCCUGCACCAAAUCUCAUUCCAAAAAGUAUCAUUGAUUCUGUCCUAGGGUCAGAGGAAAGGCAAUGUCCUAGUUCUGUUCCUAUUGCAGUGAAGAAGAAGAAAGCAGUAUGGGGACUUUGAAGGAUGAACCAGCAGAAACAACUCUCACACGUGAUGUAUUUUAGUCCUUGCGCCAUGUUCUCCCUUCCUACAGGCUAGGCAGGCUUAAUAUGCUUCGUGUGCAAGUAUAAUGGGCAGGCUACUUUAUGAUUUGCAGCGCACAUUCUAUCUGUUUGGAUAGGGCUGAGAGGAGAACCACUGGCAUCAGGGUAACGAUGGAGGAGAAAUUUGGUCCCAAACUGGUUCGUGGAUCAGAACGCAUCUCACAUUUGGGCUACACCCUUCUCCGGAUUUUGUUGUGCAGUUUUGGGGCACAGAAGUGACACACCAAAAUAUGUGUUGUUGUUUUAAAAAUUGGUAUGAACUGUGAACAAAUGGGCUGAAAAGUACUGAUAAAUUAAUAUUUUUCAUUAAAAGUGCACACAGCAUGUACCGUUAAAAUUCUUCACCAACGUGGGAUGGAGUUGAUGUAGGAUUGACUGCAGGGCCGUCUGUACCCCGGGGGUGCAAGGGAUGCAGUGCACCCGUGCGCUGAAUUCCGGCGGGCGCCAAAUGUAUUCUGGGGGAUGCCAAAUGUAUACCUCCUGUAUACUGGUCCCUCUUGAUCAGUGGCAGUGAAAAGCAAUGGAGUGAAAGUCCCCACCCCCUCCUCCAUCGCUCUGUUACUUCGCAGUGUCAAAUAUUCGAAACGAGUCAGGAAACAAAAGCAGUUAUUUCCAUUGCGUCAUUGUUACAUUGUUACAGGUGAGCGAUUUUCUUUCCCCCUUCCCAAAAAAGCUCAACAACCUUGGCUUUUCCCCUCCCCCAAAAAAGCUCAACAACUUUGAUUGAGUUGCCCCCCCCCACAAAAAUUCUGGGGACGGCUAAACUAAAUUUGGGGAUGCUGGGCGGAUCUUUGCACCCUGGUGGUGCAUAUGCUAAAGACAGCCCUGAUUGACUGUAGCUGAAACUGAAAUGGGACAGAAUGAGACUGCUCAGUCCAUCUCUGUGGUGGAACAGAGUUUCCUGUAACAUAUGUUGUGAACCGCCCUGAGAUCUGCGGAUAAAGGGCAGUAUACACAUUUAAUAAAUAAAAAUAUGUGGUUGGGAAACCUCAGGCCCAGCAGCCAAACGUGGCCCUCUAAGCCUCUCUGUUUGGCCCUAAGGAGUCUCCCCCACCCCACCUUAUCUGAAGCCACACCUCUUCUUCCCCAGGCCACACCCCUUCCUGACCCUGCUUUGCACUUUCCUUGGGUGUUUCUACCUGGCUACAGGGCAUCCUUGAACUCCGAUAAACCUGAACUCUACUUGCAUAUCUGGAUGGGGGGGGAGGGGGGAGUGUGUGUCAAGAGGCCUACUGAGAAAUUUACUUUCUUGUUCCACGCACUUUUGCCUGUGACCCCACCCACCAGCACCAUAUACUCCCCAGAAAGAUGCCCAUAAAGGAAUGCAGCUGUCUGCUGAAAAAAAUCCCCCCUCCCAGCUCUAGCAGCAGCAGUGAUAGACAAAGCCAUGAUUAGGAACACACUUUGGUGAACCCAUUCUCCCCACUUCAAAGGUGACCACAUGAUCCCCUCCCUCUGCCCAUUUCAGGUUGGUUCAGCUGAGCAAUUAUGACUGGCCCAAAUUCACCCAGAGAGCUUCAUUCAGAAACAACAAAUUCAACGUUUUCUUGAAUCAUAGGUGAUAUACUAAUAAUCACACUAAUGGGGGCUUUCUGACCAAUCCUUCAAAGAAAAUAUUUUAACACCCUUCUCCCAAAACUGAGCAUGCUCAAUAGUCAAAGAGUGGAAACCACAAAACCAAGCAGAGGGGAGGUCUCUUGAAUGCCUUAAAGGUAAAGGGACCAUUAGGUCCAGUCGUGUCUGACUCUGGGUUGCGGCGCUCAUCUCGCUUUAUUGGCCAAGGGAGCCGGUGUAUAGCUUCCAGGUCAUGUGGCCAGCAUGACUAAGCCGCUUCUGGCGAACCAGAGCAGCACAUGGAAACACCAUUUACCUUCCCGCCGGAGCGGUACCUAUUUAUCUACUUGCACUUUGAGUGCUUUCGAACUGCUAGGUUGGCAGGAGCAGGGACUGAGCAGUGGGAGCUCACCCCAUCACGGGGAUUCGAACUGCCGGUUUUCUGACCAGCAAGUCCUAGGCUCUGUGAUUUAACCCAUGGCGCCACCCGCGUCCCCUUGAAUGCGUUAGCCUCCACUAAAUUGCACUUAAGCCCAACCCAGAGUGAUUCUGGAAUGCCUUAGAUGAGAGAAAAAACAUUUGGAAUUUUGGGGAAAGAAUAUAGACGAAAUACAUGGUGGCAUUUUUGCAAGUGACAAGAGCUGGUCACUUAUAUAAAUAUUUGCAUAACUUAAUGUAACUUACGUUAAAUAGCAGACAGCGAGACAAAGAGUGUAGCAUCUGGCAGAAACUGAAUGGCAACAGAAUGGAAACAGCACCAAUUAGGAUUAAUACAGGUUGGAAUGGAAAUUGCUCCCUUUCUGCAAUAUUCUUCAUUCCCAAAAUGAAGAGGGAAUGUGUACAACUUGCCACAUUAAUUGCAUGUAGAACUAGUCAUUCUCCAGUAUGGCUAUAAAAGAGAAAAGUACAGACCAGUAGGCAGGGCAGUCUUAAGCAUAUCUGGUGCUGUGGUGCAAAGAUCCCUAUGGCCCCCCCAUUCCCCAGGGUUGUCGACCUUUUUUAAGGGGGGGGGGACCCAAAAGUUGUUGACCUUUUUUUUAGGGAGCUGACACCACGCUUACACAUUAUAUCUAACAACCCCUUAGAACAAAUGAAAAUAAAAUGAAAUAAAAUGAAAAGGCAGAAGAAAAUCUAAUGAAGUCCUCCAUUCCAAAGCAAGACUCAUUCAAGACUCAGCAGUUCUUCUAAUUCAUCCUCAUGAUUCAAAUCACCACAUAUCAAAAAGUUAAAGCAAUCACCAGUUUGUUGUUCUUUAAAUAAAUUAAUAAAGGCACAGAGAAUGAAGUUCCCGGCCAAUUGGUGUUUAAGUACGAAGCUGACAUUUUCAAAUAUUGUGGGGGGUGGGAGUGGGGGUAAAGCAGUGACAUCCUGAACCUAAAAAGGACCCAAAACUUGGGUCACAAAGGCUGCAGCCCUAACUGCACUUACCUGAGAGUAAGCCCUGCUGAAUCUAAUAGGGCCUUACUUCUGAGUAGACAGUAGCAAGACUGCAGCAAGAAACACAGUUGGGAAUUAGGGCUGUUUUAAGUCUCAGCCAGAGGAAAAUAUAAUAUUGGAGAUUAGGGAGAAAGAAAUAUGAAUAGAUUGGGGGGAGGGGGCUGACGAGAGACCAAAAACCACAGGUAGCAAGAUAAGGCACACUUUCUGGGGAGCAAGUCUCACACACAGUUGCUUGGGGCGAGGACUGCAGAGGGACCAUAGUUGUGCGUGUGUGUGUUUUUCAGAAAAACGUAAAAUUGGAAGGGACCCUGCAGGUCAUCUAGCCCAACUCGCUGCAAUGCUUUUUAGCUUGCAUUGAUCUCAGAAACCUUCAGUGCCUUUUUUUUAGUUGGAUAGGCAAUUAACAGGCUUGUUUCACAAAUAAGGGAGAAGGAGGGUUGCUGGCUUGGUUUGGUUUGCUUUUGUUCUAGUUUCUAGCAUGUGCUUAAUACCGUAGUUUCAGGCUGUGAGCCACCCUGAUAUCUAUGGGGGAGGGCAGUAGUAGUAGUAAUGGUGAUGAUAUUUUUCGCAGGGCUUGCAGUGAGUGGGUGAUGGCCAGCUGCUGGAAUGAAUGGGGUUGGUGCUAAAUGGUCUGGCUUGCUUUACAACCCCUGGGGACCCUGUUGGGAGGGCGGAGAAGGAGCCCACCCCCCAGGAAGAAGAAGAAGAAGAAGAAGAAGAAGAAGAAAGAAGAAGAAGAAGAAGAAGAAGAGGAGCAGAAAUGGGAGGAGGCUUCCUUCCCGGGAUAGAGUUGCCUGUAACAUUAAACACAGGGCACGAAUCCAGGAGAGAAAGAAACCAGGGCAGCAGCUGCUGCUACUCAUGGCUGGGGCUCAAUGUAGCUGAACAGGACGGGCAAGGGGACCCUGCAAGUAGGGCUGCAAACCCAGCUAGGAGGCUCCAUAGCCAGAGGAAGAAAGGGGGCGAGUGGGGGGGCCCCUCUCUUCUUCUUCUUCUUCUUCUUCUUCUCCUCCUCCUCCUCCUCCUCCUUCUCCUUCUCCUUCUCCUCCUCCUCCUCCUCCUCCUCCUUCUCCUUCUUCUUCUCCUUCCUUCCUUCCUUCCUUCCUCCUCCUCGCACUCCGCUUCCCCCUCACAAAUCACCCGCCCCCCUCUUCCCACAGGGCAGGCAGGAGAGAGAGAGAGAGAGAGAGAGAGCGCUGCAGGCCAGCCAGCCAUAUACCGGUAGUUGCUGGGGUGCAGCUUCCAUCCUAAGCCCCUGCAGGGAUCGUUCUCCUCCUGCGGAGGAUUGGGAGGCAAGCUGCACACCAGCCAGCCAUAUGGUUGCGAGGCGCAGCUGGCGGGUGCAAGGAAAGGGGAGUCGGCCGGCAAAGCCGCGCAGCUCCCCCACUUUCUGGGGUGUCCCUGAGAGGCCGGCACCCUGGCGCAAGGCGUCAGUAAGCCCAAUAGGAAAGACGCCUCUGCCAGUAGGUUCUUUCAAGAGAUUACAUCAGUAGUCCUAAUAUGGUUGGAGAUGGUGCUCUGAUGGGAUUGUUUUGAAUGAAAAUGACGUAACUCUACUGACGAGUGAGCCAAUCGUGAUAGGGUUGGAUUUAGCCAGGACGCUCACAGAACAGCUUUAUAGAGGAGCACCUCUUGAUCUGCUGGUGUUCUCAUGGAUAUAUCCUUCCCAUCAUUUUUCAUGCCCAUGACACAUUCUGCAGCUAUAAUCAGCAUGAUGGAGUGUGUUUGAUGCGCAGACGCCAUAGGGAAGAGGACUAAUGAUCGCCAAUCAUCUUAGCACUUCAUCAUCAGAACAUUAACAGAUAGUGGGUUCCUGGGAUUGUCAUUCAGCCGGUGUGUGUUUGCCAAUUCCAGGUCAAGCCAUCCUUUUGCCAUCCCAUCCCAUAACUCAGACAUGACUGGCAGUGAGGUGAGCUGGUGGAAAGGGAUGCUUGAGGAAUUCAUUCUUGGUAAAACUUGAAAACUGACUUGUUGCAGCUCCCAGAAUGAUGCAUGGAACAAAAUGUAGUUUUCUGCAUUCUGGAAAUGUUGCAAAAUGGCUCAAAAUGUGUAUAAAACAUCAUUUUGGUAUAUGGUUAUGGAAUGGAAUAGAAUUAUGAAUGCAUGCAUGUGAAACUGACAUACUGUUGGUCAGAAACAGACUGAUCCAUCUAUAGGUGGAUUGUUGCAAUCUGCAUGUUUGUGGUCAGAAAUGGAAAUCAGUCAAGCAAAUAGGAGUAGUAUUUGUUCAAUAGCUCUUGUUGUUUUGAAGUCCAUGAACAAUAUGUAAUUAAUAUUGGCGGUUUGGUGUUUUUUUUACUAGCUUUGAGGUUUCCUUUACAUUGAAAUGAAAGCAAGUUACAUAAAUAGUUGUGCAGCUUAAGGUACAUUGAAUAGUGGGCAAUGAGACAAACAGUGUAGCAUUUGGCAGAAACAGAACUGCAGAAGAAUGGAAAAAGCACUAAUUGCAAUUAAUACAGGUUGAAGUGGAAAUUGCUCCCUUCCUGAGCUGCAAAGUUUUGAGAGGGUCACCUGUCUGAUUUCCUAAAGACAAUAUUUCCACUGUUCCGUUCCUUUUUCUUUCAUGGGUUUGCACUUGAAUGCUGGUUUAUUUUGCUGGUGGCUAUUAGAAACAGAAUGCCGGACAGGGCUCUCCAUAUGUCUUUUCUGAGUUACUCCUCCCUCACUGACCACUUUGCUUUGGAGGGGUGGACAGAAGCCCAUAAGUAAUGUUCUUCCUGGCUCAGCUCAGUCUGGACCUGCUCUCCUUUCUUCACUAAAGCUGCUUACAUGAGGUUUAGGUACUUGCUGCCAUUAACCUUAAAGGCCAGGAUUCUCAGCAUGGCUAUGCACCAGAUGAGGCUGAACUUUGAGCCAAAUGGGGCAUAUUGAGAUGGACACAGGUAUAGGCCGCCAUAGACUGCUGAAGCAGGGCUUGCCAUUUUAAGGGGUGUGUGAAACUUAAUUUUUGCUGAAGGCUGAGUUGGAUGGCUCAGAACAAGCCACUGGGCAUGAAGGAGAGACUGGCAUGGGGCAGGAUACCCUGUGAAAAGGCCCAAACCUACCCUGACCACUGGCUAUGUCUUCCCAAGAGAAAGGAUGAGCUUGCAGCUUGACUCCUCUUCCUGCCUAGGUCCAUCCCUCUAGCAGUGCUCCUGCCUAGCGAUGCCAGAAUCCACUGGCUGUUGUCAAAGAAAUUUCACGUGGCAGACUAUGCAUAAAAGUAUAUUGGAUUCUGCAUUUUGGCCAAUGACUCUCUGAUUCUCAUGGUGUCAGAGACCACUCUCUCAGGUGUCUGAAUAUGAUGGAUCUAUGCAGUUUUGUUUUAUUUCCGCAGCUCUGUGAAAACAUCGGACAGUGGUAUUUCUGCCGGGGGUGGGGCUCAUAUAUAUCCCCAAAAUGGGGCAUUUCAUGGGCAGAGAGAUAGUUGGGAGGGAAUCAAACUUGGCUAACCAAAGAUCCAAAAAACAGAAUGGGGAGGAAUUGGAGGGAGGGAGGAAGCAAGUGUAAAGGGGAGAGAGCAAUGACAUUUCCAUGCUCUCAGCAGGGUAGGCUCAUAUUUGGAAAGCGCUCUCUCCCCUCUCCUCUCCUGCCAGGUGCGGCAGACUUUGAAAAUGCCUUCACUCACACACACAGCCCCCCAUGCCCCCCCAGGUCUUCCCCUCUGCAAAGGGGCAGAAGAUGGGGAGCCAAGCUACUCUGAAAGGGCCCUGGGCAAAACUGCAGCCAGGCCAGGCAAAAAACGGCAAGUUAGCUGCAGGCCCAUUGCUCCUUUAAGAGCAGCUUAAAUUGGGACGCCUCCUAGCAAAGGGGAAAAACAUGACAGCUUAAUUGGUGGUCCUGGAAAUUCAGGGCAGUUGGAGAGUAUAAGAUCAGUGCUUUUUAAAAAAAAAAAAAGUUUAGGGGUACUCUCAUUUUCCUACUCAUAUUGAAAUACUGUCCCUCAAUGAGGCCAAACUUAGAUGCACAAAAUGUUUAGGGGUAUGCGUCCUCCUGCAUCCCCCCAGAAAAAAAGCACAGUUUGUAAUACACAUCAUUUACACAUUCAUUGACAUGUAAUGACUGGUGUCCUAAACAGGAGCCUCUUCCCUUUUCUUUAUUCCGAAGUAUCCUUCAUUGUUUCUGAGUGCAUAUAACUUGUCAGUUGGGAGCAGAAGUCUAUAUGCAAAACAGCUAAUGAAUUGAGUGGGAUUUGCUUCUGAGUAGGCCUGAAGAUUGCAGCCAGAAAUGGCUUUGUAAGGCACCAUUAGACACUUUAACUUUGCCUUUAAGGUUCCUGGAGUCUCUUUGUUGUUUGUGCUGCAAAAGACUAACAGAGCUGCCCCUCUGGAAUUUCAUUAACAUUGAAAGGGAGCACACAGGGAAGGUAAUUGAUUUGUAAAUAUCUGUGGAUGGAGGAGAUAUGCAUGUCUGUUGGGUGCUACAAUUGUGCAAAAUAAAGCAAUUACACUGGGAGGGAAAAUACCAGUGAAUGGAGGUUGUAAUUUUGCAAGGAUCCUGAGCGUUAGCUGUUAGCAUUCCCAAGCCCAGCGCCCUCACAGAACUAGAAUUCUCAAGAUUCCCUGGUGAGAAAGAACUCCUUUUAAAGCAGCCUGGUCUGUAUGGGAGACAUGCCUUCCACUGCUGAAAUGAAGGAAAAGAUCAAAUGGAGAAAGGAAAGGAGGAAAAGAGAGAUGAAGAACUCUAUUUGCCCCCUCAAGGGAGAGAGGAAGGGCUAAUUUAUAGAAACAUGUCUAUCCAGGAAUGGACUGUCACUGAAUAGGUCAGCACUCUGCUGGAGAGCACAUAAGAGAAGUGGUCAGGUGCAGAGAACAGCACUUCUGCCAAUAACUUCAUUUUCUGAGCGCUCUGCUCAGAGAUAAAUGAGAGAGACAACUCCUGGCCUUAUCAGAGGCAGGGCACAGACCAAGUUACCACCUUAAGGUGGAGUUUGAAGACUUAGCUUUUUGCUUUGUUGGCGGGGGGGGCGGGGCGGGGGGGCGGAAUGUGAACAGUGGGAGAUUUUUAUUUAUUUUAUAAGUUUCGCCCCCAUAACAAUAUAGCAGAAGUUUAGAAGUCAUUUCCAUAUUAUUUGCUACUUGCACAGUGUUCCACUAUAGUUCUAGAAGUGUCUGUUACAUCGUGUGAAAUCUCAAAUAUAACAUGAAAAUUAACAGUUAGGGAAAUGUCAUUAAAAUGGAAUUAACUGCCCUGUGGAUACAACCAUUAUUUAUUCAUUUACUAAUUACUCUCCACAAGGCAUCCUGAAUUGCCCUACAAUAUGCUCACCUAUAUAAAAACUGUUGAAACAACUGUUCACACACACAUGUGAUAUUGAACCUGGGACUUUUGCACCGGGAUGUCAAGUGUGGGGUUAGAGCCCUACUCUUUCCAACCAUGUGAUUGUAAUUGUUGCAGUCGCAAUGCCUGAAGGGGUCUUGGGUGCCCCCCAAGGGAAGAGUUUUUAUAACUAAGACUGAAAACAAUCCAUUUCCUCCAUCUCUUCUAUCAAUUGGGCAAUAAACUUCCAUCUCGGGAAGGGGAAGGUUGUUACCUUGUUCACUGUUCAGCCCAGUGUGUCAGUUUAAUGUUAAACAGGGGGAAGAGCUGGCAUAGAAAGGAGCGCAAGAGGAGCCCCAUGGCCGCUGAUUUGUUUUGGCUUAGGCUCUGAUUCUUUAUGGCUAAUUACUCCCUGACACUCAUAACAAGUGGGGGAGGGUGGGGUUUUUUUACCCCCUCCCCUUUUCUUUUAAUUACCUCCUGUGAAUUAUUCAGGGUGAUAUGACUCUUGGAAGGAAAAAUGAAAAGCAACCUGAGAUAAUUACUCCUACAGGGCUGUUUCCGGUUUUCUCUAAAUAAGGAGAUGCACAUUGAAUAGGGAGAGAAUCCUUGUUAGUGCAAGAAGAGCAGGUGUGUGGUCGAAAUCUGCUUGUCCCCCGGGAUAUUUAUGCAGCCUUCAGCACAGGCUGGAGCUGAUGGGAUUUCUAGUCCAAACAUCUGGAGGGUAUCGGUUUGGUGAAGGCUACCUUAAGGGAUCUUGCAGAUCCGACAGAGGUGUACACAGUUAUGACUGGUGUAGUUGAAGAAGUGGUUGGAGAGACUUUUCUUCCUCCCUCUCUCUUAAUACGAGGAUGAGGAUGAUGUGAAAUAUUUUUUUGAUUCAGUUCACAUCUAAAGGUGAAUCACCCAAAUUCACAGCGAGUGGAUGAACAGAAACUCAGCCAUGUCAUUUAGCAAUUCAGUUCUCCAGCCAUGUCAUUUAGCAAUUCAGUUCUCCAGCCAAGAGAUCUUUGCAAAAAUGCAUGUGCUGAGGUAAAGCAUGCACUAACAUGUGUGUGUUGGUAAAAAAUAACAUAAAAAUGCACUUUAUUAGAGGAAAAUGCUUUGCAAGAAUGCCCAUAUUAAGCAACAUCAAAUUUAAAAAAUGUGUGUGAGAGAAAUUUGCACCCAAAUACUGAUGAAUUUUCAUGAGGAUUUUUUAAAAUGCAAACUGAUGUGGAAAUGUGGAGAACUCAAUUUGAGAUUGAAAAUAAUGAGAUGCUGAGAGAAAACAAAACUGCCAGAUUCCUAAAAUUCAGGAUCACCUAGGGAAGCUGCCUGUUGAUUCAGGACACAGGAAAGAAAGUCCUUCUUCACACAGCACCAUGACGGAAACCAGAGCGCAUGGAAACGCCAUUUACCUUCCCGCCACAGUGGUACCUAUUUAUCUACUUGCACUGGUGUGCUUUCAAACUGGUAGGCUGGCAGGAGCUGGGACAGAGCAGUGGGAGCUCACUCCAUUGCGGGGAUUCGAACCGCCAAUCUUCCGAUCAGCAAGCCCAAGAUGCUCAGUGGUUUAGACCACAGCACCAUCCACAUCCCGACUAAAGUCUGCAACUCCCUCACACAGGAGGCAGGGAUGGCCACCAACCUAGAGGACUUUUAGAGGAUUGGACCAAUUCAUGGAGGAGAGGAUUAUUGCUGGCCACCAGCCACAAUGGCUGCCCGAAGCAGAAUGCCUCUGAAUACCGGUUUGUGGAAAUCACAAAUGUGGCAUUCAGGUCCCCCUGGUGGGCUUCCUACAAGCAUCUGGUAGGCCACUGUGAGAACAGGAUGCUGGACUAGAUGGGCCUCAGGACUUGUCUUAUGUUUCUCACAGUAGCAGCUUAUCCGAAUGGCUCUCAGAUAUGGUGAUGUCAGCAGUGUCUGGUAUGAACAUCUCAGCAGUUUGGAGCUCAUUAGCAGAUCAUGUCUCCUGUUCUGCCACAGUAAAGGUGUGUCUAUAUUAUUCCGCACAGCAGGUUUUCCCUGGUGCAGAUACCUGUAUGAAUUAUGUAUUGGUUUUAUUUACUGCUUUUUAUGUCCCAGUUUUCCUCAUAACGUAACUCCUGAGAGCUCCUGUUCCCAUACAAACACAUAAAAUAUUCUCCCUACAGGUACAAACACAAACACACUGCCUUCCAAGACUUAACAGAUGGGAAAUAGGGGUCAGUGGUAACACCCCAGUUCUCAUGCUCAGGAUCAUUUCGGGAGCCUCACCUCCUCCACCAGGACCCAUUUGUCCUCCUCAUCCAUUCCCCUCUGUUCAUCACUCCAUGGGUGGAGAGCAGAGGAGGACUGUUCUUGGGGGAAGAGCUGCAGCUUAAUGGUGAAGCAUCUGCCUUGGCUGCAGAAGAACUCAGGUCCAAUCCUUAUUAGUUAAAUCCUCUUUCUGAAACCCCAGAGAGCCACUGCCCAUUGGUGAAACUGAAAUCCAGACAUCACCACAAUUAGCACUAUUAAAUAUAUGAGAUGGCACUCUGUAACUAUUAUCUUUGAAGGAACUGCUAACUUGGUUUGUAGUAGCUGCCAGGAUUUCUAUUGCACAAAAAUGGAAGAACUUUAAUUAUCUGUCUCUUGAGUGCUGGUAUAAGAAAUGGAACCUCACAAUUGCUGAAAAGAUAGACCACAAGAUUCAUACAAUGAAAGACAUAAAACUAGCAGAACAAAUUCAUGCAAUCUGAUGUCACUGAAACACAGUUGUCAUUCAAAAUUCACCCUCCUUCAAAUUUUGCAAUGGAGUUCUCCAACCCAAAAACGUGUACAAAAAUGUAAUUUUAUGGGAAAGUGUGCAUGCAAAUUCAUCUGUUGGUGAAAAUAAGCAGGAAAAAAUGCAUUCAUUUUAUUAUUGAUUUAUUAACAAAGAAGUGCAAGCAUAACACACCAAAACAAAGAGUCAAAAUACAAAAGUUCCCUUUAAAAAUAAUAAACUAUUAAAACUAAAAGUAUUCUCUACCUGUAACUUCCAUUAUUCUUGAGAAUAUAGAUUCUAUAUAGUCUUAAAUGAGCCAGAUAUUUGCAUAUUCCAAUAGUGGUGAGUGACCAUGCAAAAACACAUUAUAUUAGGGGGCAUUGCUUGGGAAAACAUUGAGCCAAGUUGCAGCCACAAAUGUAUUAGAAAUGCACUCUAAACUGCCAAUGAAUUUUCGUGAAAAUGCACAGCUCUUUUUUUAACUCAUACAGAUGUGGAAAUGUGGUAAACUGCAUUUAAUAAUGGGAAAACGAGAAACUGGGAGAAGAAGAAACUGGCAGAUUUGCUCAUCACAGUUUGCACCUACAGAUGUGAGGGCAAUAUACUUUUAAUGUGUGGUGGCAGCCGCAGGGUAUGUGACUGUGUGGCAAAGAUCUGUUGGCAAACAUGUGUCCUGUUCCAGCAAUUUCAUCAGCUACUGUGACUCCUCACAGAGCAAAUUACUUGGUAGCAAAUUUGCUGCUGCAUAAUCUUUGCAUCCAUCCUAAGAUACAUCCCAGCAGGAUGUGUAACAGUAAAUUUGCUCACCUUGCUGAGGGUCUCUGACCUUUGUUUUGCAGAUAGCCUCCUUUCUAGUUACAGAUCUUCUACCUUUGCAUCGCAGGGACUCCCAGACUUUUUAGCUCAGGGAAUCCAGCAAUGGAGCUGGGCUUUGUUCUGGAAUGAAGCUUUCAGUUUGAAUUUCAAAUUUGCAUGGGAAACCUGCCAUCUAUUUGACUUUAAAAAUUGUGAGCAAAGCUGUUGCUUGACUUCUGGGAAGAGUUUCAUCCUCUUCAGCCUUUUACAAAUGGAAGGAAGGGCCACCAGAGAGGGCUAGGGUGGCGUAGUGGUUCGAGUGUCAGAGUAGGACCUGCGAGAGAAAGCAGGGUUCAAAUCCUCACUUCAGUCAUGAAAUUCACCUUGGGCCAGUCACUGCCUCUGUCAGCCUAACCUACCUCACAGGGUUGUUGUGAGGACAAAAUGGAGAAGCGGCUGCCCACUUGUCAAUCACCUGACUGCACAAUGACAUUGAGUUGUGGGGUGCUUUGCGGUCCCCACAAUCACCAGAACCUCAAAACACCACACGGGGCUUGCAAGGAGUCCUGGAUGGUGCUCUGGAGUGCCGCUGAUUAGCUGGUUGCUGACACUCCGAAGUGCAGAGCAGGACUCUUUGCAAGGAGCAGGGGUCCUGUGGAGACCUCUGCUUGGCUCUUUGCAAGUCCUGCCAGGGAUCAGCUGGCUGUGGAGUCCCCUGUGGAACUGUCAGCUGAUCUGCACAAACUCUCAGAUCCUUUUUCUGCUGGGAUCAGCUGUGCUUUGGAGUUCCCCAUGGCAAACUCAGUACAUUGUGCAACCAAUUCCAGCUGGCUGAGGCUCACCAUCAGUCAGCUGAUUGGCAGUGCCAGCCUGCCACUCUUGCCAGUGCACAACCAGGAGGGUGCUUCAAGGCUCUUGUUCGGAGUAUUGGCAGCCACUUCUUCAAUCUCACAUGCUUUAAGUGAAAUGGCUUUCUGAUUCACAUUGGAACCUGUUCUGGGCCAAACCUAGCCUGUGGGCCAGAGGGUCCCGUCCCCCCCGAGCUGCACAGUAGAGCCACAAAUCACAUGUGAUUUACUUGCACGACUGCAGCUUUGUGCGGGUGGCAGGUGAACAAGCAAAGAAAUGAAUAGAGUACAGUUGGAAGGGGAGACCUGGAAAGGCCCACAUGGAUCCAGGAAGUGGUAGUGGGGCCCCUACUGGUUUGUGGGCCUUGGCAUUAUCCCAGUGAUGCAAGCCCUUGUCCUGGCACUUCUCCUACACCAGCAGCAUGAAACAAAAAUAUCUAUGAUGCCUUAAUCUCCUAUGCCAGGUGUCAGCAAACCUUUUCAGCAGGGGUCCAGUCCACUGUCCCUCAGACCUUGUGAGGGGCUGGACUAUAUUUUGAAAAAAAAUAAUGAACAAAUUCCUAUGCCCCACAAAUAACUCAGAGGUGCAUUUUGAAUAAAAGCACACAUUCUACUCAUGUAAAAACACGUUGAUUCCCGAACUGUCCGCUGGGCCAGAUUUAGAAGGCGAUUGGGCCGGAUCUGGCCCCCAGGCCUUAGUUUGCCUUCCCACGUCCUAUGCAAACAGAGCGAACCCAAACGUGGGAUAAGGACUCGGCCGUGCUGUUUUGCCAUUGACAUCUGUUCAUGCUGCUCCUUGCACAGCUUCCCUCGUGCCAGUGAGCAGGGCAAAGGCUGCAUCUGCUUUUUUAUGAAUUAAUCAAAAACAAUAGUGUUGGCUCAAGCAUUUGCUUUAAAGAGGAUUUUGCAAGCGUACGCGUUAGUGUGAUUUCUUAUCGUGGCUUCUCUUUGUGUGUGCGCCUGCCAAUGGGAGCCCCUCCAGCUCCCAGCCACAUCCUGAGGAGACGGGCUGAGUGCUCUUUUAAUCUCCAAAUAAAACAAACAGGAACAAAGAAGACAAUAAUAUUGACUUUCAUCAUUGAUAUUCCCAUUUAUCUCGGCAAUAAUUAGUAAUUCUAGCACCGGAAAGGCAUUGCUCAUAAUCUCAUUGUUUCCAAGGGAGCUUGUGUUAAUGUCAUUGCAGACAAUGCUGGCAUGGAAAGCUUUCCAUGAGCUGAGCCACUGGAAGGAAUGGGACCUCUUGCGAGGAAAGGAUCACUGUAUCCAUGGGGGAGAACAAGUUUUGCAUGUAAAAGGUCCCACGUUCAGUCCCUGGAAUCUUCAGGUGGAGCAGGAAGGAAUUCCACCGGAAACCCUGGAGAGCCCCUGUGAGUCGAUGUCAGCCAUGUCUCUUGCAGAAGAAGAAGAGAGUCCUCCGAAACCCUCAAAUUGGUUGGAAGACUCGUAGCAAGUGAAUCCGCCCCCCAGCCCCCAAUCACACCAUUAAACUUGGGUACCUUCCCAGUCUAUGCAAGAUAGUUUUCCGGCACACAAAGUGCCAGGCAUUAUCAAUUCCACAGGAACCGCUCUCACGGCAGCCGCAGGGACCAGCAGAGAAGCAAAUGCAAAUUCGGGGCAGUGUUUUUAUUAGGAUUUAAAUGAGUUUAGGGCUGUUUAGAAUUACAAUACGAUCUGAGUCAGGAGAGGCUUAUAAAAUCAGCACCAGUUCAUAUAUUAUACAAUAAACGUGCCAAAACCCAUGACUCCGAGCUCAGUGCAUUUCUGUUGAGAGAAGGGGGAGGGGUGAAUUUGGAGAUGCAAAAAUGCAAAUGCCGAAUUCAAAACCAAGCAGGGGGAAAAAAGGUGUGGGGGAAGGAGGGGCGGCUGUUUAUUCGUUUCCCCUGGGACUGAGAAAGGAACUGUUGAGUGAAACUAAUAUUGAGAGACCAAUACUAGAGGCUUUAAACAAUCUCCUCUCUAGAGCACUGGCAGAUCCCUGUACAAAUGGCUUGAAGAAACACGCCGCCCUGCUGCACCUGCUGCGCCCUCAGCUCCGUCCGCGCUCACAACCCUUUGCUUCCCCUCCCCUCCCCCUUGUUUCCUUGGCAGAGUUUUGACCUGUGCAUCUCUCUGAUGGGGAGGCGAAUGUGUGAGCUCCACAAGAGCUCCAAGCUGGAAUGAGGAGGUCAUUCAGGGGCCCAGCCCGGCCCCUGAAUGACUCCGGCCAGGGGGGAAGCAGCAGUCUACUAUACCCCCCCCCCAAAAAAAAACCCUAGUCUGCUCGGCAGCCUCCUUGCUAGUCUGCUGCUUAGGGGUAGAGCGGAGGAGGCUUCCCUGUCACCAGGGCUGAAAGAGUUUAGUUUAGGUCACACAGUGAGUUUUGUCACUGAGUAGGGAUUUGUCUCCGAGGUGAGGACAGAUAAAAGAAAGGACUCUUUCAUGCAGCAGAUAGCUGAACAGCCCGUGUAGGUUGGUGGCCUUCACUGCCUCCUGUGGCAGGGAGUUCCAUAGUUUAACUCUGUGCUGCAUGAAGGACUUUCUUUUAUCCAUCCUGAAUCUUCCAAUAUUCAGCAUCAUCAGGUGCCCAUGGGUCCUAGUGUUAUGAGAGAGAGAGAGAGAGAGAGAGAGAGACUGAGACUUUGUUCUAUCCACUUUCUGCACACCAUGAAUCAUUUUAUAAACUUAGAAUCAUAGACUUCUAUAAUAGGAAGGUUUGAAAGGACUCCAAGGGUCAUCUAGUCCAACCACCCGCAAUGCAGAAAUCUCAACUAAAACACCCAUGACAGACGGCCACCCAACCUCUGCUUAAAAACCUCCAACUUCUAUCAUGUUGCCUUUUCCCUAAACCGAAAAGUCCCCAAAGGUUUCAGCCUUUCCUCAUAGGGGAUGGUUUGGUGUCCCUUUUCUGAACCUUUUCCAAAUUCUACAAUAUCCUUUUUGAAGUGAGGCACCCAGAACUGUACACUAUAUUCCAAGUGUGAUGACACCAUCAAUUUCUUUAACGCUGUGAUGAUACUGGCAGUCAGUUCCCAGGGUUGCCUCACAGCCUCUCCUGAGUCCCUGACCUGCUGCCGCAAAUGUGGUAGUGAGGACGCUGCCCUUUUCAAUACUGGGGCUGAAGGUGGCUUCUGACAGGGGUGGGGGGAGUCCCAGCUUGUCCUUCUCCUCCUCCAGUGGCAAAAUGUCUUGAGUUGUGUUGCAGGAUUCCUACCUGGGCACCACAGAAGCAUCACUAAUUAGAUCUGAGUUUCCCAGCUUUGAGCACAAUCUCUUGGUGUGAUUUGGGCAGGCUGGUUGAGACAUUCAAAGCCACCAAGAGGAUUGAGACAUGCUGUCGCUCUCCAUUUCAGCAGGGACUGCAUGCCCACAUCAUUUCCCCCCAGUCCCUCGGAGGCUUUGAAAAUCACAAGCACUUAACUGAAACCAGAUGAAGUCCACCUGCGGAUAGACAAUAAUAACAGCCCCCACCCAGGGAUGAGGCAUUGAUUAGAGAAGGCUUAUGGGGGAGCAGGCAAGAUUUGCUGGGAGAAGGGAAGAUGCACAUCAAACACACAACAAAGCCACAUCAAAGAGUCCCGAGAGCCAGCAGCCAAUGAAAAGCUUUUAACUCAAAGCCCCAGAGCAAAGAAAAAUAUACGCAAGGGGAUCAUUUACAUGCUUUGCCAGGCUUUCAUAGCAAAUGGUGUCAAUUUGAAAUGGGGGGGGGGGCUUUACCCAACACCUUAUUGCAGCCACUUAGGAGUUCAGGGGUAAAUCGAGAAAGUGUUGUGCAUUUUGGCAUUCUUUAGUGUUGUUUACUGCUUCCCUUGGGACACGGGUGGCGCUGUGGGUUAAACCACAGAGCCUAGGACUUGCCGAUCAGAAGGUCGGCGGUUUGAAUCCCCGCAACGGGGUGAGCUCCCAUUGUUCGGUCCCUGCUCCUGCCAACCUAGCAGUUCGAAAGCACAUCAAAAUGCAAGUAGAUAAAUAGGUACCGCUCCGGCGGGAAGGUAAACGGUGUUUCUGUGCGCUGCUCUGGUUUGCCAGAAGUGGCUUAGUCAUGCUAGCCACAUGACCCGGAAGCUGUACGCCGGCCAGUAAAGCGAUAUGAGCGCUGCAACCCUAGAGUCGGUCACAACUGGACCUAAUGGUCAGGGGUCCCUUUACCUUUUACUGCUUCCCUUGCUGUCUGCAGAAGGGUUUCUGGACACCGUUGCCAAGAUCACACCAUUGCAUAGUGUGGCAGCUACAUCUGAAGUCCUGCUUGGAGUAUAGAGUUCCUCAACUCAGGCAUCGGGUGUGGAAUUUUUAACCAUGGCCCUACUGAAACCCAGAGCUAGAGCAGGAGUUCUCCAGGCAUUGACAAAAAAAUUCAAGUUCAGGCUGUGGGUUGAUUCUCAGACUCUGGCCACCCACAAGCGCAGGCAUGAGAUGUGGAUUCUCCAGCCAUGGCUGUACAGAAAUUCAGACCUGGAGAGCAAGUUUUCCAACCUACCAUACUUGAUGUCAAAGAGUCAUUCUGCCGCUGAGUUUAAAGCUUGAUGAUCAAAUGUUUGGCAGAAGGGAGGCUUAAAACUGGGGUCUGUUCAGUGGUGACAGGGUGGGGAGGGUGAUAUGCCUGGCAGCUGGCAGAGCUGCCAUUUAUUUUUUACAGCAAAUCUGUAUGGUAGAUCCACAGGAAGGGGGAGUGUUCUCACGCUCAGGUCCUCCUUGUGGGUUUCCUACAUGCACCUGGUUGUUCACUUUGAGAAGACGACUAGAUGGGUCCUUAUGUUCCUAUGUUCUUGAGGAGAAAUGGGAAAUCCUUUCCCACCUUGUUAGGUUAAGGUAAGCAGCAACACACACACACACAAAAUCAGAGACAUUUCUUCUUCUCUCCACCCUCCAACCACCCAUGGAUAUUCAGAAGGGCAUUUGUUUCAAACCCAGCCAGUGAGUGGUCAAAAAGAAACUGUGGUUUGUGGGACCACCUGCUUAAAUGCUAGCUGAAUAGAUUUUAGCACAAACCCACCCAGCAGCAAGAGCAGGGGGAAUACCAGAACUUAGUGACUCUAAGCUUAUCCAUGGUCAGUUCUGCAUUCAAGACCCAUAUCAAGAAGAAGAAGGUACAAAUAAUAAUGGAGGGGUGGUCUCUUGUGGGGGUAGGGGUGGGGCAGGAAUUAGCUGCUAAUACACCAAAUGACUUCUCUUCGUCUCCUGUCAGCUGCCUAACAGAGCGGCAGGGCCCAGGAGCUGGAGGAUUGCAGAGCAAAUUCACAUUCCUAAUGAAGGAGCUUUGAUCUGUAUCUGUGGCUCUGAUUGGCUGUAAUGGGCCCCUGGAUAGCAUGGAGACAGCAGGAGGUACUUCAGUCCCUAUUCAUGUGUCAGGAGAAAAGGAGUGGGGAGUGACUGGAGGUUGUUUUUUUUGGGGGGGGGGUUAAAAUCCAGAAUAAAAAGGCUAACGCACAGCAAGAGGAUGACUAAGGACAAUGCCAGUUCAAACUGGCUUUUUAGUCACCAUUUUCCUCUGAAAUGUGCUGUACUAUUUACCAAAACUUACAAGAAAAAUGAAAUAAAAAUAAUAAUGACAGUUUUGCUUGAGGGGGGAGCAUUCAAUGGAAUCAUAAAAGUUGGAAGGGACCCCAUGGUUCACCUAGUCCAGCCCCCUGCAAUGCAGUAAUCAUUUUGCUAUUUGGGGCCCAAUUCUCCAACCUGUUAAGAUAAUUUUGAUGAGCUGCACCCAAGAGUACUAAAGGAACUUGCUAAUGUAAUCUCAGAGCCUCUGUUUAUAAUCUUUGAGAAUUCAUAGAGAACAGGUGAAGUCCCAGAGGACUGGAGGUGGGCAAAUGUUGUCCUCAUCUUCAAAAAGAAGACCCAGGUAACUUACCAACUGGUGAGCUUGAUGUCAAUACUAGGGAAGGUCCUAGAACAGAUCAUUCAGCAGUCAGAAAAGGAUGCUGAGAGUACCAAGAAUGGGUUUCUUAAAAACAAGUCAUGCCAAACAAAUCUAUUUUCUUUCUUUUUUAUAAAACAAGCUUGGUAGAUAUGGGGAAUGCUGUGGAUGCAGUGUAUCUUGAUUUUAGUAAGGAGUUUGACAAAUUCCCUUUUGAUGUUCUUGCAAGGAGGCUGGUAAAAUGUGGGCUGAAUGAGGUAAAUGUUAGGUGGAUUUGUAGCUGAUUGACUGACCAGUCUCAAAGAGUUGUCACAAAUGGUUCCUUGUUAUUCUGGAAAAAUGUGACAAGUGGGGUGCCACAUGGUUUUGUCCUGGGCCUGUUGUUCUUCCACACUAGGAUGAAGGAACUGAAGGGAUGCUCAUCAGAUAUGCAGAUGACACCAAACUGGGAGGGGUAGCUAAUGCCGCAGAAGAAAGAAUCAUAAUUCAAAAUGACAACAGAUUGGAGAACUGGGCACAAGCUAACAAAAUGAAUUUCAGUAGGGGAAAAUGAAGGCUUCUGCACUUAGAUGGGAAUAGCCAGAUGCACAAAUAUAGGAUGGGGAACACCUGGCUUACAAGCAGUAUAUGUGAAAAUGAUCUAGGGGUCUUGGUGGACCACAAGCUUAACAUGAAUCAACAUUGUGAUGCAGCAGCAAAAAAGCUAUCACUAUUCUAGCUUGCAUCCACAGUAGCGUCCAGAUCAAGAGAAGUAAUAUUCCCACUCUAUUCUGCCUUGGUCAGACCACACCUGGACUAUAUGUCCACUUCUGGGUACCAGCAUCCAAAUUACACUGAAAAUCAUGGGAAUCAUUGUGUUCAGUUUGGUGACAAUAUCUUGUGAGGUAUUUGAAUGUAUAGUGAACAGAUAGACAAACAGGUGGACAAACCAACCAACUAUUUCUCCAGUUAUAUAUUAGAUUCUUUCAUUAUUUGUGCUCAUGAUGGUAUUGGGGUAGUUCUAUGUGAUCCCACGUUCAACACUCUUUGCACUGGCAGACAUUUUUAGCAGUCAUACCACUUUGUUUCCAGUCAAUGAAGGCCCACUGUUUCCUGCUGAAAUCCUUUAACUCUUCAUACCACAAAUAUUUUGAGUCCAUUAGUUUGUUGUCUAGCUUUCGUUGUUCAGUAGCAGGAGCCUGCAUCUUGGUCUGUUAAAAAUGCAUCACAGAACAAUAGUAAAUUGGAAUGAUAUGUAGACAGUCCAGAAUAAUUGUGUCAAUUACAUGUUGCAGAACAGACCUACCAGAAAGCACCAGUCUAGAAACACACACACCUACAUAAACUCAUCAAGGGCAACCAAAAUAUGAAAGGGAAUGGUGGAAAUUGUUGUGAUCCAUUGAUCAGCUUUAGAAGCCAUUACAGGACAUUACAGGGUGAACAGCUGCAGAAGACAGGAUUAAUUCAGCGAUGUAUAAUGAUGAUUUGACAGUGAUGUGAAAAAGGGUAUGUGUUAUAAAUGUGUUAUAAAUACCCACUCACUCGCUGGAUCAUCACCUUGUCGUGGUGAGAGGGCUUGCAUGUUACUAUGACCCUCGCGAGUGAAGCCGUCGGGAAUCUCGUACUCCCAGCAGGGUCACCCAAGGCAGUAAGGUCAAAGGGAAGGAGCUAGACAAAGAAUGAUCCAAGAAUUCCUCAAUGGCGGAAUAGGCAGAGGAUAACAAGCGGUAUGUUACAACGGCUGUGAAGGCGGAUGAAGGCUGCAGCAGAUAGGAUCUACCGGUUCGUCAUGACUACUCAUGCCAUUGGAACAGAGCCCUACUGCGAAGACUUUGCGUUGAUCAGCGUGCACUGAUCUACACACAUAAAACAAUUUCAUGCACAGGCAUCUUCCAAAAACCCAACCCAAACUCCAAAAGUCCCAUGGCGAUCGGCAAAUGGUAACGGGGGCAGGACCGUGAAAUCUGGAAGCCCCUCCACAUCGUGAUCAACUCCCGCCAGGGAACCAAUGUCCCCACUGCGGAAGGACGUGUGGAUCCAGAAUUGGACUCCACGGUCACUUACGGACUCAUUGUUAAAAUCUGUGUUUAUGGAAGACAAUCUUACUUGGCUACAAGUGCUCAUCAAAGAAGAAAAGAAGAAGAAUAAAUACUCAACCAUGUCCCCAAUUUCAGUUGCAAUCCUUUGCACAAUUUAUCAAGGGUGGAAACUUCAUUGUUUAGAGUGGCCUUUAUUCUUUCCGAGAAAACACACAUAGGACCACAGCCUCAAUCUGUGAAAAUUUGGAGGGCAUACAGUGAAACGGGAGAGAUCUGAUUUCAGCUUAACAUUAUCUACCCUUUUUUCUUAACCAGGAUCCAUUUGGUCCAGCAAAUGAGGCAGAUAUUGAUGAGAAUGAUUAGAUUUCUGUUCCACCCUUUCUCUAAAGGAGCCCAGGGUGGCCAUACAAUAACACAAUUAAAAACAUUAUCAUUUUUGAAAACACAACAUAACCAUGCACAGUGGUUAUAAGCUGGCAAAGCCCAUCAGAUUUCACCCCCAAGUUCCUGGGUGAACAGAAACAGUAUCAGGUUCCUAGAAUCAUAGAAUAGAAUCAUAGAAUCAUAGAGUUGGAAGAGACCACAAGGGCCAUCGAGUCCAACCCCCUGCCAAGCAGGAAACACCAUCAGAGCACUCCUGACAUAUGGUUGUCAAGCCUCUGCUUAAAGACCUCCAAAGAAGGAGACUCCACCACACUCCUUGGCAGCAAAUUCCACUGUCAAACAGCUCUUACUGUCAGGAAGUUCUUCCUAAUGUUUAGGUGGAAUCUUCUUUCUUGUAGUUUGGAUCCAUUGCUCCGUGUCCGCUUCUCUGGAGCAGCAGAAAACAACCUUUCUCCCUCCUCUAUGUGACAUCCUUUUAUAUAUUUGAACAUGGCUAUCAUAUCACCCCUUAACCUCCUCUUCUCCAGGCUAAACAUGCCCAGCUCUCUUAGCCGUUCCUCAUAAGGCAUCGUUUCCAGGCCUUUGACCAUUUUGGUUGCCCUCCUCUGGACACGUUCCAGUUUGUCAGUGUCCUUCUUGAACUGUGGUGCCCAGAACUGGACACAGUACUCCAGGUGAGGUCUGACCAGAGCAGAAUACAGUGGCACUAUUACUUCCCUUGAUCUAGAUGCUAUACUCCUAUUGAUGCAGCCCAGAAUUGCAUUGGCUUUUUGAGCUGCCGCGUCACACUGUUGGCUCAUGUCAAGUUUGUGGUCAACCAAGACUCCUAGAUCCUUUUCACAUGUACUGCUCUCAAGCCAGGUGUCACCCAUCUUGUAUUUGUGCCUCUCAUUUUUUUUGCCCAAGUGCAAUACUUUACAUUUCUCCCUGUUAAAAUUCAUCUUGUUUGUUUUGGCCCAGUUCUCUAAUCUGUCAAGGUCAUUUUGAAGUGUGAUCCUGUCCUCUGGGGUGUUAG